UACGGGGGGAGCAAGCGUUGUUCGGAUUUACUGGGCGUAAAGGGCGCGUAGGCGGCCAGCGCAAGUCAGUUGUGAAAUCUCCGAGCUUAACUCGGAAAGGUCAACUGAUACUGCGCGGCUAGAGUGCGGAAGGGGCAACUGGAAUUCUCGGUGUAGCGGUGAAAUGCGUAGAUAUCGGGAGGAACAUCCGUGGCGAAGGCGGCCACCUGGACCAACAUUGACGCUGAGGCACGAAAGCGUGGGGAGCAAACAGG
This 254-nucleotide ribosomal RNA is filed under the name uncultured bacterium. Its description in RNAcentral is "partial 16S ribosomal RNA". It matches the Rfam family "Bacterial small subunit ribosomal RNA", at positions 524 to 776 of the family's 1533-position model. The record is from RNAcentral.